Gallus gallus (chicken) is the source of this 23247-nucleotide long non-coding RNA. RefSeq lists it as uncharacterized. The record is from RefSeq and is a predicted model, not a curated record. The transcript has 4 exons. Lineage: Eukaryota; Metazoa; Chordata; Aves; Galliformes; Phasianidae.
GCCUUUUUUAACGGGGAGCAGAAGGGCAGUGCUGAGGAAGGCAUCCCCACACGAAGCUGAGAGCUAUCAGCAGCGAGAGCAAUUUCAACUCUCACAAAAUACGUGUUUAUGAUAUCUUUAGUAGUAAGGACCACAUUCAGAGCUGACUGAGAGACAAAACGUCCUGUAUUGCGAGCUGGAAGUAACUGAUCGGGGAAGAUUAUACUACUGACAGCCUAUAUGGUUAACAAAGCUAAGCGAGGAUAAAGCUGCUGACGUGAGGGAGUUAAAGAGUUGUUGCAUUGGAGCAAAUUGUCACUUGCAGCACCCUAGAACUUUGUUACUCUGCUGUCGCUACUGCACUUUCCACUGUGUUACUCUAUUGUUAAGAACUUUCUACCAUGAAGAACGUCGAAGAGUUCCAGCGGUAAUACUGGCAGGUCAAAAUCCAGACCAAUCACUGAAGUCUGAAGAACUUCAUGAAAUGAGGAUUCACGUCCAGUGAAUAUUUUUAUUGCUGAGACCGUGGUGAAAUCACUCCAAGAUAAAAUUUCUGACUCUUCAAGCCUAUGACCUGACAGAAAUGGAACUUCCUGAAAUGAAGUCAUCAAGGAGCCCCUUGUACAGCUUUACUUAACAAGAGAAUCUUCUAAUGGUGGACAAAAGUACAAGAUGCUACAAAAUGAUGUUCUUUCUUGCUUUUAGAUGGUUUAAAUGUUUAUCAUUAACAAAAGAGAAUGUCAGAGCUUUGCCAAACACAACAGAUAAUUGUUUUCUGUUCUAGUGCAAGCAUUUGUCCUUUUUGAUAUGAGUAACAAGUGUGCUGAGUUUGUGAUAAUGGGAAGCUACGCUCACUCAUUCUGUUGAGAGGCUGUCAGCAGACCUUUCCUAUGCUUGUAGUGUGAUUUGAAGAUAAUGUGCUGCAUUUACCUAAAUGGACGGGAGGUAAUUCUGUCCUUGACCUUCUUUUCAAGAAUGACAAUGUGUUGGCCAAACAUAGUGUUGCAUCCUGUCUCACAUAGGGAAUAAUUUAUGAGAAAGUACUGACUGUUUCGAAGACUUCAACUUCAAAGCUUUGGCACUUUGUUAUGUAGUCUUCAGCUUAUUCCUCCAAAAACUGUUUUUUUUUCCCCACUAACAUUGUGUAUGUAACCUUGGCUCCCAGUCCCCUCCUCACUAAAAUGUUACCUUACAAGCUUUGUGUGUAGCUGCUACUCUGUCCUGUUUAUUUUACAAUCCAAGUUUUUUUACUGCUUACUUCAGAUUUGGAAUAUUUAGCAUUGGCUUUUCAUGCACAUGCCUCACAAAAGUACAUGAUCCUGUUUAUGAAGGAAACAUGAAGGCCAAGUAUUUUCAGCCAUUCAGCUAGGGACUUGGAAAGAAGAAUGUGAAAGAGAUGAAUGAAAGUGAUUAGGAGAUAAAACAGACUUGCAGAUGUGUGCUGUUUCACUAACUGUGGAACACAGUAUCAACACAUGAAUGAGUAGCUGGGCUAACCAGUCUAGUGGAGGAAAGCCUACAACAAAUACUAGGCUGUAGUUUUCUGACCCUUUCCCUUUUCUACUAGAGUUGUGCUGCGUAUCUUGAAGAUCUAUAUUUAAGCUUCUAUUCUUCCCAAUGUAGUUCUCUUCAGGAGGAACUCUAGCAAGACAAGCUGUAGCAUUUCCAACCAAAUUUUAAAUCAGGAAGAACAGCAGCAGAUUGACUAAUUCAAAAAAAAAAAAUAAAUAAAUGAAAAGACUUCUGAUGUAUUUUUAACAUUUAAGAAUGAACUUUACCCCAAAUAGCCCAAAACUUAACUUCAAUAACAAUGCAGUUUUCUACUAGCUGAUCAAAAAAUUAUUUAUCUUUCAAACAUGCAGACCUUCAAAGUAAAUAAAUAAGCAAGUAGAAGUAGACCAGAAUUAUUAUCCUAUUGUAGGUGGGAGUGUUUUGAAUCUCUAUGAGAGCUUGUGUUACAUAUGAAUUAUAUAGAUAGGCAGAAAUAAAACCAAAAUGAUUUGGGGCACCCUUUCCAAAGAUUAAAGGGAAACAAAGGUUUUUGAUACGUGAUUCCAAAAUUCCCAACAUUAGGAUUUUUACUGUGUACAUGAGUCCAAAUUUCUGCUUUUCUUUAUCUGGAACAAGGAAAAGAGAAUCUGUAAAUGAGUGACCUACUGCUAGGCUGUGGCUGCUGAGUUACUUUUGGUUUCUUUAAUUCUGCUGUCUUAGGAAAUAUACUUUGAAAGUUUUUGAAGUUUUAAUUUUUUGUUUGGAUGCAGAACAAAACACUUACUGGUUUGUACCAUUCUUGUUUUCUAUCCAGGGCUCACGAAAUAGAUCUCAAAAGUCUUAAAAUGUUCUGUCACUAUCCUUUUUAAAUUAUAUUUCAUUCUGGUGUUCAGCUUCUAGGCUGCAUCCAGGCUUGGAGAUCUCUAUAUCUGAUGAUGUAAAAGUUGUUUUUUCUUCUAUUUCAUGUCUUCUGCCCUCACCCUGCCCCAACUUGUGAGAUCAUGAAAAUGCCUGCUCUCCUGAGGUUUUUGGUUGUUCAGAUAAGCAGCCAAAAGUUCAAGCUGAAGUUGGAUUCAGAUCUUUGAAGCUCACCUUUACAAACUGAAAACUGAACUGGCUUGCCACAGGAGUUUUAUUUUCUUUAUAUUUUAAUGGUCUUCAGAGAAUAUUGGAAGUCAUCAAAUCUUUUUCCCUGCUAUAUUAUAUGCUAUUCACCAGUUUUGCUAGAUUCAUGCCUUUUCUGCCUCAGAGGGAAAAAAAUAUAUACUAAAAAUGCAAUUCUUUCCAUUCAUAAACUGCUUUUAAAUAUAUACACAGAAACAGAGGGAGACAGACACAACUGCUCAAACAAAACACACAAAGAGAGAUGCACAAACAAAACACACAGAGGCACGCAAUGACACAAACACAAAAAACACACGCAGAGGGUGAGACGCGCAACCACAUGGUGAGACGCAGAGAGAGACAUGCAAACAUGCACAGAGAGACACCCACAAAUAAAGAGGGAGAUGCACAAAUGCAAACACACAGAGAGAGAGACACAAAUGCACAAAGAGAGACACAAAUGCACAAAGAGAGAGAUGCAGAGGCACACAAACGCACACACAGUGAUGCACAAAUGUGCAAACACACAGUGAGACACGCAAACACACAGAGUGAGAGAGACAGUAAGAGAGGGACCAACAAGCACACAGCAAGAGAUACGCAAGGAUAGAGACAACCACAAACACACAAAUCGAGAGACAUGCAAAGAUAGAGACACCCAGAAAUAGAGAGAGAUGCACAAACACAAAGAGAGAUGCACACAAACACACAAAAGGAAAGAGGCGUACAAACGCAUGAGAGAGACACGCACAAAUGCAGAAAGAAAAAGACAAAAACGCACUAACAUGCUGAGAGAGAGAGAGAGAUGCACAAGCACACAGAGACGUGCAAACAGACACACAGUCAUGAAAGCAAAAAGAGAGAGCGACAAACACGCAAACAAUGAGAGACGCACAAAGAGACAAGCUAACGCACACAGAAUGAGAAGCAGAAACAUGCUCACACACAAAGAGAGAUGCACAAACACGCAAACCCAAUGAGAGAGAGACGCUCAAACAUACAAAGGCAGAAACACACAAAGAGAUGCACAAAGAGGGAGACACAAACAACCCAUCUCUCUCCUUCAUUCUCACCUUUUGGGAGUAAUUGAGAGUCUCUCCCAAAUUUCACACUCUUCAAGCAAGGCAGUGGUGAGUUGAUUUGAAUGAAAUAAAAGCCCCAGGGAGAUUGAGAUGUAACCAUGCUGUAGAACCAUUAAGUUUCUUAACGAGCCUCUUUUGAGGAAAGCAUCUUCUCCAAGUGUUAGAUUGGACACAGCUCCAUUUGGUGUCUCCACAUUGCACUUUGUUUGAAGGGGCAGGCUAGUAGGCCUUGAACCAUCAGCAUGCCAUCUACUUUAGCUAAUUUUCAUGUUGGUAUCUUUUAAUAUUUACUAUUGAUGUUUUCAAUGGUAUCAGUUUAAAAAAAAAUAUACAUUCAAAAAUCACUUUUUAAAUAGUUGAGCUCAGAAUCAACCUUCAUUUGGAGGAGCAAUUCCUGAUGAGCUCAUUUCAAACAAAGUUAUGUGGCAUAAAAAAUGAGCUGUGUUAGCACAGAAGUUUUAGUAGUUGGUCUGUUUUAUGUUGUGCUCCCAUUGCUUCUUUAAAGUUAUUUGCUGAGUGACUAGAUUAAUCAGAAGUGUCACAAGCAUUUUUUGUCAGCUUGAACUGAUCUUUUACCAUGAAUUCCUGUUCUGUUGAUGUUGUAACUUGAAUAGUUUAGUAAACCAGCUUACAAAAUGCUACCAAGCUGCAUGCGCUCAUCUUUCUAUUUCACCACUGCCUUAAUUUUCCACUGAGGAUAGUUUUCUGGGAAAACUCUUGAAGUGAUGUUACUAAUGUGAUCAGAGUUGAACAAACAGUUUUGGAGGGUUGCAGUCUGUGGAGGAUGUAUGAGAUGAUGACUUGCAAGCCUGCUUUACAGAAAUAGCAAACCCUGGAACGUUGUCUAGAUUCCAUACUGCGUACGGAAGGAGACAGAGUGUUGUUUUUUCACUUGUUCUAAAGUGCUCAGUAGGGUUAUCCUUAUUUUGGCUGCAAUGAUAGUGAGGAGAUUCAGCUACAAGCUGCAAAGGGUUUGUUUAUCUCUAUGUGGAACUUAGUGCAGUAAGGUGUGGAAGUUUGUUUGCUUUAGAGUUAACUGUUCAUCUGAAUUGCAGUAUGCUCAGGGGUACUGCUUUAGAUACGUGAUACAAAUCUUCCUGCAGCAAAAAGAAGCUGGUGGGCUAUAGAGAUUAGUAGGAAGAGAGAAAUCCUGUAGCAGCUUAUGUGAGGUUUCUUGUGGUUGUUGCCAUUGUUCAGACUGCUGAGGUAUCUUGCAUCAGUUUGUUUUAAACUGAAAUGAAUGCAUCUCCCACUUCUGCUCUUUCUUCAUAUGUGCUUGUAAAUCAUAUGCUCCAUGAUUUCAAUUGGCAGCAAUAGAUUAUCUAAUAUUGAUCAUGAUCUGACUAAGGAGUUGGUAGUUCUUUAAACAUCUCUCAAACUUCAGCUGUUCUUAAGGUUUAAAAUAUUAUUUCAAGUUCAUCUUUGGACUUAAAGAAAGGACAUUAAAAAAGCAAUCAAUUGGGCAAUUAUUUACUUCCAGCAGUGAUAUGUUUUACUACUAAAACAAUACAAAUAUUUGUUUUAAGUUGUUGAUGAAUACUGGCUAAACACUGGAGCGUAGCAGCUAUGGAAAAUUCCAGGAAAAAGUGUAAAAUGAUGAGUGAAAAAUGUCAAGGGUAAUACUUGUUAAAUGUGAUUUCAUUCACACAUUUAUAUCUAAAAACAUCUCCCUUAAUCAUCUGGGAGUUGUGAGGUUGAGUCAUGUUAGCCCUUUUCUUUUUCACAUUUACUCUAUUUUGUUUGUACUUCCUGAAUCUAUUCUAUUUUUCUCAUUUUCUUUUACCCUGCUGGUUUGUUCUUUCUUGGCUUUAUUUUCAAUUAGUUAAACAUAAGUGGCCUUUGACAUAGGAAAGAUUAUGAAAACAGUGGGAUGUGGAUGUUAGUUACUGCUUUGAAAGAGGAAGACAAAUAUUUUUGUGUGUUCUCCUUUAUCUGUUACCUCUCUCCUGGGGCUCAGUUGUCAGUAAGUGAAGUAAAACAGCCACUUGAUUAGGGAAAAGGGAAUUUAUUUAGAAUAUUUCUUAGUUUUCUGUGUAUUAUGGCUAGGGGCCUAAUAAAUCUCGGUUCCAUUAUGCUGUGCAGAGCUACUAACGUGUAAAAUGUGUAACAAGAGCCUCUGAACAUUACGGCAUGAAGUGUUGUAACUGACCAGACCUGGCAGGGAGACAAAAUACUUGAUUUUAUGCAUGCAUAUCAACAAUUAAAGAUCUGGAACAGGCAUCCAAUUGUGUUUAACACAACUUGAAAAUUUGUCCUCUUACAAUGGCAUCUAAAUUGACACUAGUCUUCAGGAAAUCUUGCCUUUAUAGCCAUUUUAGGGCCGUGGGAAGGGUUAACGCAGUUAGCUGUUACUGAGGGGUUUGUGGGGACCACACAUCUGUAAUAAGGUCAUUUUUGAACUCCUGAAAUACAUGUUACUGAGCCUUCUUUUGAGACUCAUGGGCUGAUGAACCCUUCUGAGAAUGCUUUGAUGAAGGAAUGUUUUUUUUUUUCUAGCUAAAUUCCUUUGCAUAUGAAAGUGGGUUGUGUUUGUUUUUAUUUUUGGAUAAGCAAAUAUCCUUAAUUUUGGCUAAUAUAUGGGUCCGGUCUUCUUCAAGGCCUGUGAACAUCCUUUACGUGCAACACAUGCAAGGAAAGCAACUUGUGCGGAGCAUUUCUCAGCUGCGGAGCCUGUAUUACUAACUUAGUACAAUAUUGAUUUGGGAAAUAUUACAUGUUUAUCCCUUUGAUAUUAACUGAAGGAAAAGAGAGGUUGAUUUUUGGAAUGAACCCAUUUAGAAAUACCCCUGUCCUACUGUGUUGUUGUUGGUGAGACUACUACCAGGCUGGCAGUAGCCAUGCUUAAUUAUCAUUCUGCACCGUAGAAAUGUUAUUCUCCAAACAGGGAAGGUAAGAGAUAACACAGGAAAGUAGUACCUAAUGGGCUUUGCCUUAAUUCUGUCUGGCUGCCAUGGAAGGGGAAGUUAAAUAAAAUACUCUAGGUUUGGAAAUAUGUGCUUGAGUUAAAUUGGACAUAAUACUGCCUUGCAAGAACUGAUGAAAAUUAAAAUUCCACAAAUAUGAAGUUUAAAAAAAUGAACAAUACCAUUUAAAUGAUAAAGGGCUUCUCUAUAGCGUUGCAAGUAUAAAAUAGUUGACAUUUAAAAUGUCAAUAGUUUCAACAUUUACCAUAGAGUUCUGACAUUUUAAUAGUACCAUUGGAACCUUUGUUUGUUUUAAAUGCUUAAAUUUUUUUAGCAAACAAUUGACAGUCUGGUCAUCUUUAAAAGGCAGUAGCUUCUUCUGGGACUACAGCUAUUGGGGAAACAGAACCCUUAAUUUUGGUGGCGGAAGUCAUUGAAAUAGGGUCAGCCAUAUAAAAAUAAGCACUUAUUUCCUACUGCUGACAUUCACAUUUUGCUUGUGGUAGGAAAAGGAAUUAGGGUAAGUUAUAAUACUCAUUUCCUGGAAAUUUGUAUUAAAAUCUCUUUAAGGACUAAAAGUAGUAAGCUGGGCUGUGAGAGACCUUGUUCCUCCCUGGACUUGGAUGGUUAGGUGGCUUUAGUAAAUCCAGUCCCUCUAUGCCUUCCCUUCUUUGGGAGAGACGACUACUUUAACUGUUGUAGAGGAUGACUGCUGUGGUUUCCUUGUAGAGAACUACAUCUAUGCUUACACCUAUGCUUGAUUAUUCAGUGUUUUAUGACCACUAAAGGAGGGCUUAUAUUGAAAGUUUUGUUUCUAUUAUUUGAAUGACCAUAAAUGACAUUCAGCAAACUCUUGCCGGGAAGAUCCUGGAAAAAAACAGCAGAGUGAAACAAAUAUUUCAUUUAGUGCCCAUCUUACUUCCUGCACAUAUACUUGACUUAUCUAUGCUUCUAAUCCAGUUUCUGCAUUGUAUUAUGUCUCACGGGCACCUGAGUGUCCACUUAAGUCCAAAGUAAAAUGUCUGGAGUUAGCAUCCAUCAGUUUUUAUCUACUCUGCAUCGUAUGCACAGCAAAAGGAAACAAAAUCCCCAGUUCCAUGUGAACAAUUGAAACAAAGUUCUGGUGAAUGCCUUUUGGCUGAAGACACUGCAGUUGUAGCUUGCCAAAGUAAACCUAUUGUGUGUGAAAUGUGCUUUGUUGCAACUUUGUAGGACAAGGAAUUGCAGUCAAUGUGUAGUGUAUUGUAGUUGUCUUAUUCUUGGAUUUUUAUAUGAUACAGCAUAAGGUAUUACCACUAACUAUACAAAUGCUUUGUGAACUAUGCCUGCCGGGAUGAGUCUAAAGUUCUUUAACAGUACUCAGUUGAUGGAUUUAUAUUGAAUCUUAUGUCAUUUCAGUCUUUAGAAGGAAAUCUCACAUACAACUAAAGCUGAGACUUUUUUCAUUUAAGCUGGACUCUAUUUAGUAAAGGGCUUAUAUGAGCUAUCUACAACUUUCCAAUGAGCUAAAGGGUUUAUAACACUUUAUAUUCUCUGGCACGUCACAUGUCCCUACCAGAUAGUUGUAUUAAAUGGUCUAUAGGAAAAAAGAGGUAUGAGCUGAAAUGAGACUAGCAUCCUGGGUUGUUCAGAAGAGAGUUGGAGGAAUUUACAUCAGUAGCGAGUAUAGAAGAUGUCUGAUAUGGCCAUCCUGAUAUGCAGCUGAGCCACCUGCCUGUGUGAACUCAGUGAAAGGGAUCAGAAGCAGAUCUUUAUUAUCAGUCCUCUAAUUUCCAUGCAAGAGAAGGGGAGCUGAGUUUGUAUUCUACUUCCCCUUAUACAAUGGUGAACACUAUAGCCUCUGCCUCAACACUGGAAAUAUUCUUAAAAAUCAGUAGGGAUCUCAGCGUUCUGGAGCCAUGUUUUGGUCCUUGUAGUUAUGCUAGAAAAUAUAAAUAACUGGCCAUAGGAUCUUUGAAGUGAGAGUUGUAUCUUCAUCUUUCUAGCAUACCCAGCUAUUCUGUGUUUAUUGAAGGAGGAAAAAGAAAAGAUAAGAAAAAAAACCCCUAUAGAUUGCUAUCUGUGCAGACUGCAGAGAGGUUAGUGCAUGAGUGAGGGGGCACUCUGCAAUGUCAUGAGAAGGAGAGCAUUCCGACCCAUCUCUCAAAGGGGGGAAGAGCUGUAGCUCUGAAUCUGCAUUACGCUGUUUCUCCCUUUCUACUACUGUCCUUCACCUUUCCAAAUUGUUUGGAAGCCAACACAGCAAUGCUACACUUCAAAUGUGAGUGUCCUAUGGUUAAAAAGGGAACAAAUAAGGUAGUAGAUAGAGAAAAAUAACUUACAGGGAACACGCUUUUGCACACACUGAUUAAUUGAGCUGUGUCAGUGGCCUUGUAAUGCUGCUGGAGACACUGUGGUGCCUGCAGGUUUUCCCUACUGCUUUAGUCUGUGUGUGUCAUGGAAAGAUUAAUGCUGUGAUAUAAGGCUAUAAACUGACCUUGUGUGUCUCUGUGAUGACUUUUGGAACUGGUAGAUAAGGUUACUCUCCAGCUUUAUUGUUUUGUUUUUAAUGAGCUAUUUUCUGCAGGAUCCUUCUAAUAGUGGCAUGGUUUUUCAGUAAUGCAUAGGGGCUACAAAGAUGCCCUUUUAUGGUAAUCUCUUAGAUGUGAUGCAGUUUUCAGUAAGGAGUUAAUGUUGAAAGAUUAUUGUCAAAGCUACAGUGGAUCACUAUGUCUUUGGUUAUAAUAUCUAGAAGAGCAGCAAACAGAGCCUCAAAGCAAAGAUCCUGAUGAUGUUAACACCUACAUGAUCUACUAGCAACCAAAAAUACGGAUCACAAAUCUUAUCAUAUUUUAAGCUGUCCUAGGAUGACUUUUCCUAGCAGAACUAUUUACAGUCUGUGGUUUAACACAUGACCGUAAAAUAUCUUUUUCAUUAUUUUAAAUUAAGAUGAGACUACCAGUUAUAACUCUGGCUGCUACAUGUUAUACAGCAGGUUCUGUUCAUGCAGACUCAAAACUGAAGCAAGUUUGAAUGCGAUGGGAUUGAAUGUUGGAAAAACUUGCAAUUUCAGGGCACUGCUGUCUCAGUUAAUCAUGACCAUUUAAAAUUGCAUAAUAUUUCUUCAAUCCCAAAUUUAAGUAUGAAUGGGAUAAAUUAGCAAAGUUAAACACUGUGCUUCCUGAAUUCUUUGUUACUCAAGUGUUCUCCAUUGCUUCUCAGUAUUGUUGUCUGUAUAAGUUUUGCAAUAAAAUUCAUUCAUAUCAGGCUUGUUUAUUACUGUUACUCCUAAACUUUCUUUGGUGUUUUUUGUGUGAAAGCCAAACAGUGACACAAAAAAUGUCUGGGGAGUCCUGAGGUGCUAAGAAACCCUGAAAAUGAGUCAGCCUUAAAUGAUUAGUAACAGAUAGCAAUUGCUCUGUUUUCAAAAUACGUAAAAAUGAUUAGCAGUUGCUAUGCAAGUUAAUUUGGCAGUAUUUAUUUGUGUGGUACUGGUCCGUGAGUCAGAAAAUAUAUGGAGCAAGCUUUGUUUAUUGCCAUUUUAUGCUCCAAAAAUGUGUUGUAUCACUUAUCUCUAGGAAAAAUACCAACUUCCCCCACAAUUUUUUUUUUUUCAGUUGGGAACCCUUGUCUGUAGUAUAAUGGCAACUUCCAAAAAUGUUUCUGCACAGGAAAACAGCAAUGAUCUGGCUUGCUUAUAGUUGGUAGGGCCUGGGGACAGGGAUGUAGGAGCUGAAGUGAAUAGUACAACAUGUGCUAUUUUUGCCCUGUGUGUGUAUUAAGGCACCUGUGGAUCUGUGCUAGGAGGCAGUAGUCAUGAUGGCUGUGAAUCUUGCUCCUCUGCAUAAGGCAGUAUGUGUGUAUGUGGUGCAAGGCUGUAGUACCAGAGCAGUUCUGAAGUUUCUGUCAUGCCGCACAGCAGCUCAUGGUGAUGAUGGAUUCUGAAUGCAGCAUUGCUGGUAGUGCUCCUUUUUGGGGCAGUAAAACCUUUCUUGCUACAGAACAGGUGUGCACAGUUCAGCAUGGCCUUUGGUAGCUUUACAUCUGUAUGCAAGCUUCCUUACUCAGAAGGGAGCGGUCAUUCUGUUUAACAGGUUAUAGAUAUUUUAUUUUAUGGUUUAGACAUUUGUCUGCUAGGUCAGAGGUUUGAAAUUCCUUGCCCAUCUAUAGCAGGGGUUCAGUUUCUUUCUGUGUUUCUGCAUUUUAAUCUGGUGACUUGGGAAUAAUUAAUAAUGCUUUGGUAAUGUAUUUUGAUAGAUUUUUGACAAGGAAGGUGCUAUUUAUAGAGAUUGUAUUGCAAAGGCUGUAGUAAACAUUAUUUAUAAAUGGCUGAGAUUUUUUUUUAGCAGAGAAUGCAGUUACUCAGAUGGAGAAUGGCAAGCUCCCUUUUAGAAUGCUAGUAACUUUGUUGCAAUUUAAUAAUUCUAAUUGCAACUAAUUAAAAACUUCUUUAAAUUCACUUGGUGCCACCAUUUCAUUUCAACAUUGUGAUGCCUGUGCAGUGCCAGGACCUUUUCUCUGGGAGUUUACAUGCGCUUUUUCUUUAGUUGAGUCACAAGAGAGAAGUCCAGUUGUUUUCUCUCAUAGAAAGGGCAUUGUUAUACUUCAGAAAAAGUAAGGCAGAGCGCAUGAUUCUUUAAAAAAGAAAGUGUUUAGAAAAUGUUUUCUGAGGCCUGUACUGAAGUUGAUUGAAACAACAUGGAAUAAACUACAGAUGUUGUUCCACUACUUCAAGUAACAAACUAAAAAUACAAGCUUGUUUACUGUCUUAGAAUACUACAAAAUGCAAAAUACAGGCACAUUUAGCCUGAAAUUGUAGGAGUAACUAUGGCUCCAGAUUGUACGCACAGAAAUUAAGUUGGUAUGUUUGUGAAUUGAUUCCUCUUUUAUGUAUUUGUAUAAAUGCUUUAGAACUUAGUCCAAAAUUCUUCAUGGUUAAUAGAAAAGCAUAAUCAUCAUGGACUGGUGGAAGCUCUGCUCAUUUGUGUCAUAUACUGGAUUUCAAAAGACAGCUAUCAAGCUGUUAGUAGCUCACAAAACAGCCCCUUCACCCCUGCUGCUAUUCCUGGUGUGAAACUUCCGUUGAACAGAUGAAAUCCUUGAAUGCGUCUAUUGCUUGGAGGUCUUUCUCACUGUCUCUCAGCAAUUUUUGUUGAUUGUUGUGCACUUAAUUAACUGUAUCACUGAGUGCUUGUGUUCUCAGGCUUGUGUCCACAUCUGUGAUAACGUCUGGAAACUGUGCUUGCCUGCACAUACAUGCAGCUUCUUCAUGAGGGAUUGUACACGGAUGUUAAUUGAGAAAGGAAAACUUGGUGGGCCAGUUGGGAUGCUAUACCAUAGAAACUGUGAAUGCGUCAUACUGUAGCCAGGUCUCAAAACUGAAGUAUCAUGCCUCUCAAGAUUUGUCUUGAAGAUUGAAGAGAUGUUCUAGAGAGCAAUUAAUCCUUAAAGAUCUGAAUCUAAAGCAGCCUGGCCAUGAAUUUCUCUUCUGACUUCAGAUGAAGUCUAAACGUGUGUACAUAAGUAUUUAAAUUCAGGUCAGGACAGUACUUUUAACACAUCCUUCCUAUCUGUCUCCUCAUGUUUUGGCUUGUGUUGAACAGCCUUGGCGUGGUCUCCAGUGCACAUUACCUUCUGUGGUGGUAUCUGCAGAAGGCCAUGAUUAUGCUGCUUUCAGUGAUGGAUUAGUUAUUUAUCUUUUCCUAUGACUUUUGAAAUAUCACCUGACCAAAAAAAAAAAAAAGCAAGGUAGUCACCUGAGCUUGUAACUGUACUUUUUGAGCAAAACCCUUUCAUGUCUCCAGAGUUUAACAUUUCAUGUUGCAUUCUAAUGUAUGUAUUUGGAAGGUGUUGCCUGUAUUUCUUCUGUCCUACGUUCUGUCUCAGUGUUUCAAAACAGAUUGGGCACCCACCGAACAGUAAAACUUGAGUGCUUUCUGCAGGUAUCUUUGGGCUUUUCAAGAGACAGAUAUGGGCUUGUUCAUACAGUUGAGUCUGGGUAUAUUUCUGGGAUGGAAUUCAUGAAAAUAUUGCUGCUGUGGAAAUUUUAGGAAAUAAUUAAAGCCCCUUCUCUAGGGAUUACACAAACUGUGGUCAGUGGAUUUGAGCUUAUAGCUUAUUAUAGCCCGAUCUAAUAAAGGAGUUUGCUCUUGGGGUAAACAUGCAUCAGUCUAGUUGCCACUGAGUAGGCACACAAAGUACAUAAACAAGAAAUAAGGAAUCUGUAACUCAGCAUACUUGGGUCGUAAUAGGGCAGGAUUGGAAUAGUCUGUUCUCUUCACUGUGGAGAAAGUUGGAUCAGUAAUAGAGUGUUUUCAAUGAGGCUCUUGUUCUGUGGAAGUUCUAUGGUGAAGAAACUUUCUCUAACUUGACACAUUGCAUUGAUUAUGUGAUUAUUCUGUUGUUUGGUGUGCUAAUGAAUAUAUGCAAAAUGUAUAAUAACAGUGGUAACUAUAUACAGAAGAAACAUAUUGCAGGAACUUCAGCUUUACAGGAUUUUAACUUCAGGAUUUACUUGGCGUUCUGAGAGAUUUCUUGACUACCUUAAGUUUUGUAUGGUACUUAAUGUUUAAUAUUUAAAAUCACAGAUUUUUCUGAAAGCUUGUGAACAAGUCAAAAUAUUAGUAUGAUUGUGCACUCUUUCUUGCUGGAAGACGUUUGACAACAUUGUAGGCAGUUCAAAAAUAUUCAAGUAAAAUCAGGUGCAAGUUUUUAAGUACGGUAGCUUUUCUAUCAGGAACCAGAAAGCUUAAUGUUUUGUCAAUUAGAUUAGAGUUGAAAUUGUCUGAAUGUGUUUGAUAGCAGACAGCUAACCAAAACUUUUUUCCAUUGAAUUCGAUUAAACUGCUGUAAUCAGAGCAAUUACGUGGUGGUUUGUGGCCAGUUUACUGACUCUUAUUAUUUAAAUAAAUUUUAAGGAAUUUUUUUUAAGUUUGACCUUUACUAACAUCAGAGAACAGCAGGAGACUGGAAGUAAAUGAACUGACUAAAGGCGUUGAAAUGUCAGAUUUUCUCAAGCAUAUAAUCAGUAUUGAAAAUGGAUUAUAUUAAAGCUGCAGAAGAACUUUGAAACUUCUCAGAUCUUUUUCUUUUAAAUUUUUAAUGUUUAGUUCACAUCACUUCUAUGUUUUGGUUAUGUUCUAAGUGAAGCCCUGUAAAUUAAGAAAUACCAGGUGUUAGUUGCUGUUCUACAUACUUUGACACCCUGAUGCUUUAGUUCUAACUAAUAACUACAUAUUAUGCUUGCCUAGUAAGACUUAAAUCGUCUUCCAGAAAUAGCAAGAAAGGAGAUCCAUGGGAAUGUUUUACAAUUUCUCUGGAGCUCUUAGAUAUCACUUGACUCGCAAUGGAAAUAAGGAAGGUAUAGAGACACUACAGUUUUGUUUCAAACACUAUAAAAGCAGAGGAAAAUUUGGUGGAGCGUAAUAGCAGUUAACUCAAUUUUAUUUGCAAAUUAAUAAAGGUCUUGGUUAGUCAUAGGUUCAUUUCUGCUCAAAAGUGGGAAUGUAUCAUGGGCUUAGAAGUCAGAUCAAUAAAAUUUUUUCACUAUAACCUGCAUUUACUCUGUAUAACAUCUUUCAAUCUUAUUAAGGAUAUUUUACGUAAAAUAAAACUUUAUGUAAAGCAAAGCAGUGAACUGUACCUUACUUUGUAUAUUAAAAAACAAAAGUGGAGCAAUUUAGGGAAAGCUAGCUUAGUCCGUUUGACGAAAGUUUUAACUUUUUCCUAAAAAUAGUCUAUUUUUUUCCAGAAUAAUUAUUUCAUAAACCAUUUUUUAGACAGAGACCCUCAGAUGUUAAAUUCUAGUUUUACAAACAAAUUCUAAACAAAUCUAUUUUAGUGCACCUACAAUACAUGUAUCUGUGUUGAAAAUAUUCCUGGGAAUUGAGCUGGUAUUUGUGACUGAUAGGAACCUAUACAAGCUAAUCAUAGCUAAUGAAAAGUGAAGAUAUCUCAGUAGUAAUAGACUGUAACUCAAAUGAAGAUAAAAAUUACACAUGUUGCUUUAACAUAUGGAACAAAUACAUCACAAUUUGGAGGGACAGGGUGUAUAUGAUGCCUGAGAAGAUGUUUCAAGGGAUAUCACUUAAAGCAAGACAUCUGUAAGAGAUAAUAUGGUAUGAAUGAAUUUUUGUGAUGUGUGGGACUCCUGUCUGAAAGAGAAGAAUAGAGCCUGAACUAAAUUCUUUCUGACCUGAACUUACCUGCUAUCCUAAUUUGUGCUGUGAGGUAUGUCAGAGCCAAUAUAUCUCCAGCGGGGCUCUUCUGCACGGUAUGGGUGAAUGGGAACAAAAUUGGUUGAUCACAAUUCUUUUUUUCUUCUUAACUGCUUAAUUGUACCUUAGCUUUAUAUGCAGUGACUUUUUGUGCUGCCUCUUUCUGAAUGACAAUAGUAUUAUGUACUUAAAGGGUAAUGUCACUUGAGCUUCAGAAAACAUCAAGAAGUCAAUGGUAAAUGUGAACUAGUGCACUGGCAUACCGCUAGGACCAAAACAACAAAUCAGAUGAGUAGGAAACAGUUCUUUUUUCUCAGAUAAUAGAAUAUUCUACAUGCCUGGGAGGGACACUAAUAUUUCAGGUUUAAUUUAAAAAAAAAAAAAAAAAAAGAUUUAAAAACAAAGAACAAAAUACUUGAAGGGAUUUGAGGUCAGUUCAGUAGAUACAUUCAGUUAUUUGCUCUGACACAUGCUUAAUAAAAAGCAAAAGAAUGGAACGGCAACUUAAAGAUAAGGUUAGAAAUUACUAGGUUCCAUGUAAAUGUUUCGAAGCAGAGCAAAACUGAUGUGGGUUGCUGGCCUUUUAGGGAGGUGUGCUGACACCCUGCCAGCACUCAAGCUCUUCUUCUUUUCUGGUGGUGUUUUUAAUGUAAAAACAGUUGAAAAGCUGUUCUUUUACAAAAUUGGGAAAUCUAAGUUUUAUAAUACAGUCAGUUCUCAGCCUUACUGGUAUACCAUUAGUAAUGGGCCUAAGCCCACUGAAAUCAGAAGUAAAAUGUAGUAUUUACAUUAUAAAUCAGAACAGCUUUUUCUAACACACGAACUUUGUAGUUGGCAAAUGCAGACCCCUACCUGCAUUUUCACUGAUGAUGGAAUGUUUUACAUUCUGCUUCUGAAACAGUUCCAAAAAUUUUCGUAGUCUAGAACUAUUUGACUGCCUUCUUAAAUGUCACGUUCUUUGAAUGCUUGAACCAUUUUGAGUAGAGAUGAUUAGGAAACCCAAACACAGGUUGCACAGCUGCCAAAUCUGAUAUGCCAGGAAAGUGAAGGCAGUAACCUGUGGCACGGGGCAGUGCAUCUAGGGGACAGUAUUAAUGUCAUGUAGCAGCUGAUGCUGGUCAAGGUGUGUUGUGGCCUUCAUUAGUACUUUAUGUUCAUGUAAAGGGCUCUCCUUUCUCUGAACUACUCAGUGACGCGUCUCACCACGCAGCCCUUAAUGCUUUUGUCCACUUCAGAAUCUUCAUUAUUGAUGGUGGAAGCAUAGUGGCAGCAGGGUUAAGAACAGGCUGUAAAGUUAAAUCAAUGUACUCCUUACUAUCAGGUUUAAUUAACUUUAAGGUUGGAAAGCAGAAACUUAAGGGAAGCUAUGAGAGACCUCUUAGCAGAACAUGGAAGGACCAAAGUUAUAAUGAAGACAGUAGGUAGCAGAAAAAUCAAUCAAUUCUAGGAACUGAAAACAGGACAAGAUCCAUUAUCCUUAGUGUCUGUUUCACCUCGGGCUCAAAAAUUCUUGUCUAUUGUUCUCUAACGUGUGUUCUGGAAAGAAGUCAGGAAAUGGUUUGGAUACAUGUGUAUUUGGUUGCUAGCAAGUUGCCCAUACUUACUUUAAGCUCUGAUUUAAGGCAAACUUAUUUUAUUGGGAAGAUGAGAAUUAGUUGUAGCUAAGUGUAUGCUGAAGAGAGAUCCUUAUUUCAUUGCUUAUAGUGCACUUGAAGAAAGAAUGAGUUUAGCCACAUAUACUCAGAAUCACCUUUGAUCCAAGCAUUCCUAAAGAUCUACCUCUCGACUUGCUCUCUUUCCUGACCCCAUAAAGAAGACUGGGACUGACACAUGCACAGUGGUUAAUAGUCAUAAUGAAAUCUUUCAUCACUUUAAGAUAAAUUCAUCACUAUCAUUUUAAGAUAAAUAUAGUAAUGAAGCAUUGCUAUUUUGAAGCAAUAUUUAAAAAUCUGAGUGUUUGCCUUUGCUACUAGAUAAACCUGCUGGGGUGCCAGUGUUUUGUGACCCUUACUGCUUGCCUUUGAGGUAACAACAGUACUGGGGAGUGAAGCUUGCUCUGCUGUGGGCUGAGUUUAUCAAAUGCCCUCUUCAGAAGGAAGCUAAUAUUCUUUCCGACUGCUGUAUUCCAAUUUGUAGGCUUCAGUGCUUACGCACAUGUAGCAGCUUUGCCAAUAUUGUGGUUUUAUUUCCAUGUCAGUUAUCUGCUCUUGGGGUAAGAUGAUAAUACAAAUGUUUCUGUUGAGCUCCUUAGUUAACAGUUGAUUUAAGUGUUUAACAGCCUAAUGACCCUAAGGUCAUUCCAGAACCAUUUGGCCUUGUAAAGUUUUCCUUAAAUCUCAUUCUUUCUGUACAUCUCUUUCUCUCUGUUAUUCUAUAUGAUGGGCAAUGGAUGCAAUUGUCUGGAAAGACUUUUUCAGCAUCUUUCGCUGUAUCUUAAUGACUUGAAACAUCUUUUGCAAAACAUGCUUUCUUGUUUCUUUUUCUGUCUUUCUAUUAAAAAAAUUGCCACAGUUAUGGCAAAAAGCAUUGAAUUUUAGAAAGGAAAAAAAUCUUUAAAUUCUACUACUUCUAUACCUAUGCAUCUGCUUUUUGAACUUCCAUUGCAAAAGAUCAGAAUGAAAAUAGCUAAGGAGUUGUCAGGCUUAAAAUAGUGUGUAGGAUAAUUUCCUUAGUUGUAAAGUUUUACUCGUUUGUAGAUGGAUGUGUUCGUGUUUCUAGGAUGGCCUUUUGUUUGUACUCAGCUGCAUGCACUAAUGGUAAAAAGAUGUUUGCCAAUGGCAAAAAGCUGUUGACAUAUUAUGUGAUAUCUGCAAAUUAGGGGCUUCAGCUGUUCUUGUAGAGGUUUAAUAUGCAGAUAACUGCAUGAUAUAUUUCUGUGAUUUUUACCAUCUAUAGAGGCUUUACGUCUACUGUAGAUGCCUAGAAAGGCUUGGGUAAAAGAUGAAUCACAGAUUAAAAAUAAAUAGGAAAAAGAAAGCCCACACAAUUUGGUAGAACUGAUGUAGGUGAAGCUUUCAAAGGAAUUGGAUUUCCACUCUAAGUUACAGGCAAAUUAGUGAUAACCUAAACUGCAAAGCUACUCUUCCAGCUUCAUAACAGUAUCAGGAGCAGAUUCUGGUAAUGUUUGGGUGGAAAGCCAACCUGUGGUGCUGAAACACAGUGAUGUUCUGUAGCUAGAUGGACAAACAACUUUGUCAAAAGGGAUAAAAACAUGUCUGUUUAAAUUAGAACACAAUAUGAACCUAGGUAUAAUGCAUUCUGUGUAUCUAUCUAGCUAUUGGAUACACAGAGGAAGGAUGCUCUCUCUAAGAGUGGACGUGAAUUAAAAACAUUUUCUAAAAGCAGUAAUGACUAAUACUAAUUUCACUUUCUUGUCUCAGUGUUUACUUAAAUAUGUUGUUUUCAUGUCCCCUGAUCUCCUAAACUUUAUUUUAUUGUAUUUGGAAAUAUCAGUGGAAAACAGCUUAUUAACUGUUGUAGGUAACAGUUCUGCUCUCAAAAUGUUUCUUGCAAGUGCUGCCUUAAUGUUCUUUUUAAGUAGCUGCUACAAGGUGGUUGUAGUUCAGAGACGAAAAUAAUGCUGUUAUCUCCUAAUCUGUUGUUCAAGGGUCCAAACAGUAUCUUUCCAAUCGACUAACCACUGUGGACAGAUUGACAGAACUUUGUGGUUUUGAGAAAUGCUUAUUAUUUUAUUAAAUCAGUGCGUAUACAUGAAUAUGAACUGUCAUCUGUGUCAGCAUCUAACUUCUCUCUUUCAUACAGAGAUUGCUCUUAUAGUUGUCUGACUGUGGAUACAUGAGUAAAUGCUAUUCUAAUUGUAGACACACAAGUAAAUGCUUCCCAUUUCCCUGUUUUUCAUCAUCUCUUGAUAUUAUCCUGUGGGUUUUACUUAAAUUUUUCAGUUAUUGUUUCUUUUCCAUGUUGGAUACUACUGUUAUUGUUUAGACUAUAUAAAAGUACAUUCUUCCACUUAGAUGCUAACCUUGUUCCAUAGAUCGCAUUACGGUUUUGUCCUGUGUACAUGGCAGAUCUUUCAGCAAAUCACCUGAUUCUCUCCAGUAAAUAAAAUGUGAGCAAUUCUGGGUCAUGUGUUUAUAACUGUCUGUGCUUGUCAAACCUACCUUGAGCAAGCUAUUCCUUUGGAAAUCGAAUUUAUAGAACAGUAAGAAUCCCAAUCCUGUUGGAUCAACUGUCUGGCUCCUAGAAAUGUAGUGUUACUGUGAGCUUCUAACACAAUAGCAUCAUUGAAUUCUGAUUGCGGAGUUCAGAAUUUUUCCGUCUCGUUGACUCAGAAACAACAGAAGCUGAUCUUCCCUGUCCUGUCUCCUUUGGGCUAAGAUGAGGUGUCAGUAAGAUAUGUAGUUCCCUAUUUUAACAAAGUGGUCACUAAAUAGCUUACUGCUGCCUUUAGACUGUACAUUUUGAUUUUGUCUUCAAAUGAAUUUGGAAAACAAAAUCUUGAAGAUUGGAAGUAAAAAUGUUUUCCUUCAAAACUUAUUUCAUAUUUCAUGGCCUUUCCUGUUGUUGUUCAGUGUUAUCUGCACUUUAAUAUGAAGGACAAGGUGUAAUGAGGAAUCUACAAGUCAGGCUCUGGAAAGUGUAGAUAUGAGAUGCCUGUUUAUUUCCACUGUUCAGAGUUAAAGAUUCCAUAUUUAGUGCAAGAGGAAGAGAAGUGGACUUGCAAAGUCCAAAAGAAUUGCUCUCCAGGUGGAAAUGCUUGGCAGACAUCUGUGUCCAAAUGGUAGCUUUUUAAACUUGGAAGUCCAAACACAUCUCGUGGUUCAUUGUUCAAAGCCAUAGUCUCUUUCCAAUAGAGAAGUGAAUAGGACUCAAAAAUAACUGAGAGGCACUGCUUGUACCAACAGUACAUAAUGAUUGGAGCAGUCAUUUGGAAUUUAAGACUUGUUCUUGCUCCUCUGCAUCUCAAAGUUUGGCUUUCCAAGACAUUUGUCUACUUUACAGGAAAGAGUUUUUUGAUAAAAGCAUAAAAAUAUUAGUGAUGGCUAUUUUUAUAUAUUAUCAGAGAAAUGAAACCGCUGGUCUGAAAUCUAAUUGAUGAUUUGGCAGGAAUGAUUGCUGCUUUUUAGAUUCUGGUGCUUUUCCUGAACAUCUGCUGCAGCAUAAUACAGCUAUUAGCUUUUUAAACAAUCUGUUGCCAUCAGAUUAUUACACAUGGUUUAUAUCCACUGGGAUCUCAAAAUUGGUUAUUGCAGCUUCAGAGAGUUGCUUGAUGAAAAGCUACUUAUUGCUGGCAUCUGUAUGAUGAACUGUUACUAGUGGCUGAGAAAUUGUAUGAUUUUCUUAUGUUUAACGAUGGCACCAUAGUGAAUAUGCUGAUGUCAUAUAUCUUUCAUGAUCUGCACAAAUCAUCCCCUUAUUGAAUAUCUGAAUAAUCAUCUUCUGAAAGCAGAGGCAAGCAGUUAGAAACUUUUUAGACAUGCUCUUUUUAAUUUGUGCAGUUCAUACAAUAUACAAAACAGUGACAUUAAUUGGAUUUAUUCUCUGGAGUCAAGUAGCAAGCCAGGUUCUUUUGCAAGCUUAUUUUUCUGUGCAAAUCCAUCUUUUUAACGUACAAACAUUACCAAAACAAAUACUUGCAUAAACUUGUCUUGAAUUGUUAAGUAGAAGCAUUAAUCUUAUGAAUGUUUCUUCUUUUUGACUUAAACUCAGCCAUACAUAGUUUCUUCUCUCUAGUGAAAGAAUUACACUAGAAAAGCAACAAUUUAAACAGGUUAUCACUGUUCUUAGAUUUUUAAGCUGAAAAAUUGGAAGCUAGUAGGUCAAAUGGGGACUUAAUUCUACCCACCUUAUGUUCACUGAAGCUGAACACAAUAGAAACAAAGGAGGGGUAGAAAAAAGGACUCUAACAAGUUAUGUAUGGGAAUUCUCACAGGAAUUAGGCUUCACCAUCCUCACUAUAACUAGCCUGAAGAACACAUGAAGAAAAAUGAGGUAUCACUGGUAGUAUUACUGGGGAAAUCUUAGUCCUUGUUGGAGCUCAUGAAACUAAGAUGCCAUAUGAAGGUAGACUAAAUUCUUCCAUGUUGCUCAGUUACCCUGAAUCAGUGGAUUUCAGAGGUGGCUUUACAGCUGAAGAGGUCUAGCUCUGCAUAUUUGGUUUGUCAGGAGUAGGACACCAGCUCAUGACUAAGUCCCUAAACAAUGAAAGGUAUUACAUAUGUUAGAAUAAAGAAUAUAUUGAACUUGAUUUGAGGAGUGUUUUUAUGUGCUAAUGUAUGAAAUGUAGAAGCUCUUGAGGGACUAUAGAAUAUCACUACAGCACGGGCAAAUGUAUCACCAAGAGUAUAUGCAGUCAUGGAUCAAAAAUCUAACUCGGAAAUGGAGUAGUAUAGUGCCAUAUUCCAAGCUAUGUGAAUUGCAAGGGCACAGCUGAGCAAAUAUUUCUCCAAACUGUUCAUAAAUAACUGCUUGGACCCAAAUGUCAAUUUUAGUUUUGCUCUGCAAACUGUUAUUUCACGUUUGUUACUAUUAUAGCAAGCAAUGCUUGCAGAAAUAUCUGUAGAAGCAAUAUAUUUCAUGUUAGUGUUUGUGGAAAGCAAAUGCUUCAUCUAAAAUAGCUGAAAAAUCUGUUCUGAGCAUUAAUCUCAUGAAUUUAUAAAAACUGGAAUUCUGUGUCAAUUAGCUGAGAACUGGGUCUAUAUGCCUGAGCUUCUGCCCAAAUCAGAGUGAACUGGUAUUAAUCAGAUCACUAAUCUUACAUAAAAUCAACCAGUAUUAUGGAAAUCUGAACACAUGCAGUAAGGAUGAUAGUGAAUUUAUGAGCACUUUUCUUCUACUGAUUUUAAGAUGCUUCAUAAGACUGACCUACCAUUGGCCAUUCUGUUGAAAUAUGGAUCAGUGAAGUAUAUACUCAGAAGGAUUUAUUACUUUUGACUCCUUAUAUUCUUCUGCUGUCUCUUGCUCUCUUAAUUCUUUGGAUGCUUGAAAACAUACCUGCUACUAAUGUUUAAUUUACAAGAUGUAUCAAGCUUCUGAUGUGCUGAAAUAUUUGACAAGAAGCUAUCUUUAAUUCUUCCUAUUUUCUCUGCAUUUUAAAGAUGCUUAAAACAUAAUGUUUAAGUCAGAAGAAAUUCACUCACAGUAUUGACCAGCAAAAGUAAUUUGAAAAUAGUCCAGCACAGUUUUAGUCAUGACACAAGCUGUGUAUAUUUCUGUCCCAUCUCAACACAUUAUGUCUGCCUCCAGCUGAUAUUUUCCAGUGAAAAGCAGCCAUGCACAUUCUGCCUGGAUUUAGUGUAAAGAUUUUUUUCUGGGGUAGACAUCAACUUCACAAAGCUCUAGAAUGUGUCAACUUGUUUUGAACCUGCAAGUGAAAGAUGUGAUGGCUGUUCCACUCAGCAGGUUUUUGUGCAUGUUUUUCUAAAUGACACUGCUCCCUUAACUGCUCACUUAUAUCCAGUGAGCCCUGUUGGUUCCUUGUCUUGUUACCAUGAACUUUGAGAACUGUCCUUUAGAAUGCUCAUAUUUUAAACGCAGUCAGUCUGAUAUAGCUAGAAUUACUUUCUGUAGUCACUAUUUGAAUAUACAUGCCAACAAUUUAAAUAUUCUUACAGUAUGUACUUACAGCAUGCUGGUACUCAUAUACUCUGAAGGAACACAGCAGGCAGUGACCUACAAUGUUUUUCUUGCUUGAAGGCAGCAGAGGUAUAUAAUCAAUCAAAGGCUGUACCUUAAGAACACUGCUUUCUUUCAGCAUCUGUCCUGUCUGUAAGACUUUCAUUUGCCCUGCUGCAAUUACGUUCCUGAAAGGAAUUCACAUGUGGAAUGUUUCCUGUUCGUUAGGUCUGCUGGGCACUAAAAGGAUGUUAACUAUCUAUCUCACAGAGGCUGAGAACUACAUUGAGCACAGAGGCUUUUGGGCUUCUAGUUCUAGCUGGCUGCUGGUCUGUAGUAGGAGCUCAGGGCUGGCUUGUGGAGGCUCUUGGCAAGGGAUACCGGGCUCUACUGGGAGGGCAGCCUCCCAAUGCCAGGGUGGUCAUUGCAGAACUGAGGUCCAGCUGCCAGCAGGGAUCUUUGGCUGGAGGAGCACAGCAGGGCCUGUCAGGUAUAAUGCUGGGAACAGUAACAACAAGCAGAGUUUUCAUUUCAGCUUUUAAUUGACUGCCAUAAGUAAACUCUUGGUACAUAAGACUUUUCUUUAUAUUCUUUGUGUGCAUAUUUGUCAGAUAUUUACUUAAUUUUAUACACAAUAUUGGAAUAAUCUGUUACAUUAAUACACAGCUUAAAGCAGGUCUUAUUUACACUGACCACAGAAAGACAGAAGAAUGAGGACAAAUACUUAACAUUCACCAUCUUUAUCAGCAUUUUAAGUAUAGUUAACCAGCACACAUCAUGCACAUCCAUAUCCAUAUUUAUAAGAAGUGUAGGUAUUUCUAAUUACACACAUGGGCAUGUGUCUCCCUUUAAAAAAAAAUAAUGAAGUAGAAUGCCAUUUCCCCCAGAUAAUCAAAGAUUAAAAAAAAAAAAAAACAA